CAAAUAACUGCCACGAGGAUGAGAUGAGAUCUCAUACUGGACGGUGAGAGGCAGCUUGGUGCCGUGGGUCAGACUUGUGUCUGUUGGUGGCUCCGUUGUACCAUCCACACAGUCAACUACUAAAUAAAUGAAAACUAUUAUAAUUAAUUAUUUAAGAAAAAGCAAUUUGUCCAAGGCCUCAUGGUGCGUCGGCAGGGUUGGCAGGGUACUACGCAGGAGGAGAAUUUGCACUCGCUAUCCUCGCAGUGAUCCCUCCGAGCUUCCAAGUGGCUGUACAUGGGCAGAUGAUUCACGACUGGUGCUUUUUUGACAAGGCAGGGAGAACAGACAGGAGAUGGGCCCAUCUUGUUCUGACAGCUGGGCCACCCUGGGUGGCAGUGAUGAGUCAGCCUUGCUGCUGCCACACUCAGCACACAAGGCUUCCCAAACCCAGGCAGAGCAUCGUGGAUCGCAGACACGCUGACCAUGCAGUUGUGUGAUGGCAACAGAUGACUUGUCUCUUUGUGUCCCUUCCCCAAAAGUACUCAGUAACCUAACAGGCUUCUACCAGCCUCCAAAUAGAAGCAUCUUUUUUUCAAACCCUGAAGGGAUCAAGCAAGCCAGAGGGACAGCAUGCUAUCCCAGUGUCAUGGUGGAAGAACAAGGAACAGGACAUUCAAACAGUGGAUGACCAGGUCCCUACUUCCCAGGACUCGGCUUUCUUUGGAGGGAAGCUUAUCCAUGUUCCCCGAGGACCUACUACACACGUGAUUUCAGAGUGGACUGUUCAGUGUGGCUUGUCUGGGACUUAUAUUCUCAAUCUCAUCAUUGCCUUUCUGUGUCCAAAACCAAAGCAUCAGAGGUACAAGAAGGCAAAACUCCAUUUCCUCUGUGAGCACUGUUCCUGUUUGACUGAGGAAUCUGGCUAGAACAAGAAGAAAUAGGGCCAGAGUUGGGGCUAUGUAUGUAGAAAUUUUGGGUGGAUUUAAAGAAAUCAACGUCUUGGAUUUUGUCACAAGAAAAAUCACUUAGACACCCUACAGUUAUGGAUAAGAAACCAAAUGGAAUGCUUGAUUCAUUCUAUUAUGCUUUUAAGUAACUAUUACAAUGAAUGAUUCAUUAAUUACUAUGAAAGAGCAAGGUUUCAACAAAAACAAAUACGAAUAAAUUAAAUAAUUUCUAGCGAAACUUCAUUUGUUAUGGAAUAGCACCUAAUCUAACUUUUAUUUUGCUAAAUAAAAAAGAGUUUUGGUAUCUUAUUUCAGGUAUUGAAAUGCCUCGGGUCUUGCUCUGGACAAACACAUUGCCCUGGGACCGGCUGCUCACAGCAUUUUGGCUUUGACACGGCAGCUCUGACAUUAAAAAGCCCUUAACUAACCAUUUGCAACAUAUCAGAAAAAAGGUUAAUUUGCCUUUUACGCAUCCUUUACUCUGCUCUGUUGUAGAGGAGAAAAGACAGGACUCUGGUUCUCCUUUCAAAUCAGUUAUGCAUAGAAUAAAGGAAGAGCACAGACAGGCACGGUGGCUCACGCCUGUAAUCCCAGCACUUUGGGAGGCUGAGGCGGGUGGAUCACUUGAGGUCGGGAGUUCAAGACCAGCCUGACCAACAUGGAGAAACUCCGUCUCUACUAAAAAUACAAAAUUAGCCAGGCAUGGUGGCACAUGCCUGUAAUCCCAGCUACUCAGAAGGCUGAGGCAGGAGAAUCGCUUGAACCCAGGUGUCAGAGGUUGCGGUGAGCCAAGAUCGCGCCAUUGCACUCCAGCCUGGGCAACAAGAGCGAAACUCCGUUUCAAAAACAAAAAUAAAGGGAGAGCACUUGAUAGGAAGGCAGCAGACCUGCAUUGAAGUCCUAACCAGUAACAAGCUGUGCUACUCUCAGCAAGUCACUGUCCCACUCUGAGUCUCUAUUUCCUGAUCUGAAAAUAAGGACUUAGUGUAGGUGUCCUUCCCCGUGCCUUUGAUUUUCACAAUCACUCUCUGAAGCAUAUAGUUCAGGAGGUUUUAUUUGAAGCUGAAGAUACAGAAACCCACAGAUCAAGAGCCAGCAAACUACAGCCCAGGGGCCAAACCAGCCCACCUCCUGCUUUUGUACAGCCUGUGAGCUAAGAUGGUUUUCACAUUUUUAAAUGGUUAAAAUAAUUGGUUGGGCAUGGUGGCUCACGCCUGUAAUCCCAGCACUUUGGGAGGCCGAGGCGGAUGGAUCACUUGAGGUCAGGAGUUCGAGACCAGCCUGGCCAACAUGGUGAAACCCCAUCUCUACUAAAAAUACAAAAAUUAGCCGGCUGUGGUGGUGGGUGCCUGUAAUCCCAGCUACUCAGGGGGCUGAGGCAGGAGAAUCACUUGAACUUGGGAGGCGGAGGUUGCAGUGAGCCAAGAUCGUGUCAUUGCACUCCAGCCUGAGUGACAGAGAGAGACUCCAUCUCAAACCAAAAAGAAAAGAAAAGAAGAAAAAAAUCAAAAGAAGAAUGACAUGUUGUGACUGAUGGAAAUUAUAUGAAAUUAAAAUUUCAGUGCCCACAAAUAAACUUUCAUUGGAACACAGCCAUGCUUAUUUGUUUAUAUAUCAUCCAUGUCUGCUAUUGCAAAACAGCAGAGCUGAGUAGCCACCAUGGAGACCAUAUGGUCGGCCAAGCCUGAAAUAUUUACUCUCUGGCCCUCUACAGAGUUUGCUGGUCCUUGCUAGAGAUCAAGGUGUCCCAGACUUCAGUGUACAUACCAAUCACCUAAGGAUCUUAUUAAAGUGGAGAUUCUAACGUAGUGGGUUUGAGGUAGAGCUGAGAUUCUAUGUUUCUAACAAGCUCCUGGUUGGUACCAAAAGGGCUGGUCUGAGGACCACAUUUUGAGUGGCGA
Molecule: long non-coding RNA, 2830 nt
Filed under: Homo sapiens (human)
Lineage: Eukaryota; Metazoa; Chordata; Mammalia; Primates; Hominidae
Description: HSALNT0365466
Source: RNAcentral